RNAcentral lists this transfer RNA (72 nucleotides) under Bos taurus (domestic cattle). It matches the Rfam family "tRNA". Rfam says of the family: Transfer RNA (tRNA) molecules are approximately 80 nucleotides in length. Their secondary structure includes four short double-helical elements and three loops (D, anti-codon, and T loops). RNAcentral also lists the same sequence under 1 other name. The record is from Rfam by way of RNAcentral. Lineage: Eukaryota; Metazoa; Chordata; Mammalia; Artiodactyla; Bovidae.
UCCCUUGUAGCUCAGUUGGUAAAGAAUCUGCUUGCAAUGCAGGAGACCCAGGUUAGAUUCCUGGGUCAGGAA